GAUGAACGCUAGCUACAGGCUUAACACAUGCAAGUCGAGGGGAAACGAUAUUGGAAGCUUGCUUCCGAUAGGCGUCGACCGGCGCACGGGUGAGUAACGCGUAUCCAACCUGCCCAUCACUUGGGGAUAACCUUGCGAAAGUAAGACCAAUACCCAAUGACGUCUCUAGAAGACAUCUGAAGGAGAUUAAAGAUUUAUCGGUGAUGGAUGGGGAUGCGUCUGAUUAGCUUGUUGGCGGGGUAACGGCCCACCAAGGCGACGAUCAGUAGGGAUUCUGAGAGGAAGGUCCCCCACAUUGGAACUGAGACACGGUCCAAACUCCUACGGGAGGCAGCAGUGAGGAAUAUUGGUCAAUGGGCGAGAGCCUGAACCAGCCAAGUAGCGUGCAGGAAGACGGCCCCAUGGGUUGUAAACUGCUUUUAUAAGGGAAUAAAGUGGGAGUCGUGACUCCUUUUGCAUGUACCUUAUGAAUAAGGACCGGCUAAUUCCGUGCCAGCCGCCGCAGUAA
Molecule: ribosomal RNA, 508 nt
Filed under: uncultured bacterium
Lineage: Bacteria
Description: partial 16S ribosomal RNA
Rfam family: Bacterial small subunit ribosomal RNA
Source: RNAcentral